CAGACCAACACACUUUAUUCCAUAGUCACAACAGUCAGGAUAACCGUGAGCCGAGUGGGGCAGAGCCGGAGCCGUUGCAUCCCCCGGGAUGGGCCGGGGCCGCCCCUCGGCUAAAAUCCUAUUUCUCCAAGACAACAGCUACAGGUUCCUUCACUACCACGAACACGACAAAGGUGACCCCGAGCGCUGGCGCCCGUGCGGAGGCUGCGCCGGGGCCCCGCCGGCUCCGGGAGCCCCCGGCCCGCUCGGCCGCCGCCGGGGCGGCUCCUUCCUGAGAGAGGUUUGGUUUAUUCUUAUUAGUCAUUUAUUAUUAUUAUUAUUGUUCAUUAUCAUCAUUAUUCGCUUUGUCUCUGGUGAUGGAUGUCGCACACGCUCGCACACGCAUGUGCCGGGCAGCACCGGGCAGCGGGGAGGGCGCAGCGGGAGGGGGCCGCACGCUGGGGGGGUCUCUAAGCACUACAACCACACGGCACAGACAAUCCACCACUGUCCACGACGGUUCUCCCCUGACAAAGACACCCAGCGAGGCUCGAGGAGGGGGUGAGGAGGGGGACGGGGAUGGGGACGAAGCGGAUGAUGUUGUGCUUGUGGCCGGGGCUGGGGGGGGGGGCCCCGGCUCUUGGCUCCGGUUCUGGCGCUGACCCAGAACCUGCUCCUGAGGAAACGUUUCGCCUGAUAGUCCGUGGAGGGAGCGCCCCGGCCCACGGGUGAUGCACGGCACGAAGGGACCCCAACGGGACCCCAGUGGGACCAGGAGAUGCAGCCCCGGCAAAGCACACGAGUGAUGCGAGACCCUCACUGCGGCCUCAGGCCCUGACGGUACUUGGGGGCUUUGGCUUCCCCAUGGAUGGGGAUGGAGGGCGGGAGGCUCUGGCGCGGGGCAGCCGCGUGCCCUGAGAAGGCACCGAGGUGCUGGUCGAGAUCUGUGCACAGUGGGGAGCCCCCACGGGCCCCCCAAACCCGGCUCAUGCACGGGAGGGGGCUCGGGGUGCUCCUGGAGCUGGGUGGGAAGGCAGAGCCCCCCCGGCUGCGGCAUCACGGCUGGCCCGGCGCUGAUUUGGCUUUUCCAUGUGGGGAGAUCUGGGUCCGGUGGGGAACGGCCCGGGAUGAGGGGGGGGAAGCAGGGAUGGGGACACGCUCUAUACGGGGAACACGUGUGUGAUGCGUGACACCCGCCUGGCACCGCAGGCUGGCGCCGCACCGGGGCUACGGGAACACGGCGCUAACGCAAUGCCGACACACACAGAGCUACCGCUACACACCGACACAUCUACCAUGCUGGGGGGGCUCCAGGGGACCCCGAGGCCGCCCGGGAUGGGGGACACGGAGCAUCCCUUGAAGGGACCUUUGCCAGGGCAUCAGGGCAGGUCCCUGCUCCGAGCUGCACUGGGGGGGGUGCCAGGACCCUGGAGGGGGGUGAUGCCCUUCCCAUGGUCAUGGCAGCCCCAUGGCAAUGGGCAGCUGUGGCUGGAGGAACCGCAGCCCCAGAACAGGGAUGCAGCACCCCCACUGCCCUGGUACCCCGGGAAGGGCCAGCGGGGCUCCUGCAUCCCCUCUGGAGGAUGCCUUGAGAAGACUCAAGGCAACGGGGGACCUCAGAGGCUGCUUCAAGCAGAGGACCCCACUGAGCCCACUGCAGCCCCUCCGGGUGCUGAUGGCCAUGGCCAUGUCCCCAGGGCUGGCACUUGGGGUGCCCGGGGUCCUCACCAGCCCCACACACACAGCAUGGCCCUACCCAAGCACAGCCCCUGCCCCACAGCCGCAGCCGGUGCUGCAGCCACAGCCACAGCCACGUGCUCCCCGGCAGCGGGAGGAGGCGGCUCGUUGCAGGAAGGAGCCAUUAGGAAAAGCAAAGACAAGCCCGGCUGGAGGAGCCACUGUGGAAGGGCUGCUCCUGCCGGGAAGCUGCUCGGCAGCACUCUGCCGGGAUGCUCCUGCUCCCAUGGUGCCAUGUGGAGGAAGCCCCAUGACGGAGCAUCACCCACGGCACCGGCUGCUGCUGCUCUGGGCCCCGUUUGGGUGGUUGCUUAAGGCAGAAUUCCAGCAGCAUUCUCUCUGCCACGCCAGCACCAUCGCCCACUGCAGCCGAGCACGGUGGGACCUGCUCCACCGGCCAAAGCGAGCCAGAGUGGAGCAUGUCCUGUGUGGGCACUGGCUCCAAGGCUAGAAUAGGGACUGGCUGCCGUGGGAAGGGCUGGUUCCAGCUGGAAUUCGGGGUGGCUCUGGGCACAGCCUCCUCCGCACAACCGCCCGGCGAGAGGAACAACACAACCUCCCGCACCACGUGCGCGUCACGUGCGCCCAACUUCGCUCUUCCCAAAGCGAGCGGCCGGGAGCGUGUGGCACAGGGAAAGCGCUGGUCCCGUGGGAUACGGAACCCCCACGGCCAGGGACACCCAGGGAAUGGGGUGUCGGGCAGGGAGGGCUCGGUGGGGCUCUGCCUCCCUCCAUCCAUCCCCAGGGGCUGCGUCAGGGAGGAGGAGGAAAUUGAAGCCGUGCUUGAAAUGCGGUCAAAACGCAGAAGGAAUCGGCCAUUCCCCAAGGGAUGGGGAGGAUGGGAUGGGCGCCGAGGGCCGCUGUGAGUGCUCCGGCUGCUGGAGAGCAGGAGGGAAUGGCUGGUGGGGAUGGGAGCAGCCAUGGGAAGGGGCCAGGCCCUGGCAAUAAAACCCCGAUGAGAUGUGAGCAGCCACACGUCCGAGCGCGGGGCAGACGGUCGGACGAGGAGCUGGUGUGUGCCGGGGGUGGGUGAGCGGGAGCUCUGCCUUCCAGCGCCUUCAAGGCAAAAUACCUGAUUCCUGCAUGUAAACAGCUGGUUUCGGUUCUUAUUUUAUAGAUAUGACCUGAUUGUGGGGGGAGUAAAACAAGAAACGGGGUGUUACCUGCAGAGCGCGGGACUCAGUAGGUAAAGACCAAGUCCGAGAUGCUGGACAUGAGCCAGUCCCCCGCUAUCAUCUCCGUCACCUCGGGCGUGCAAUAGUCCGGGAACUCGAAGUGCGAGGAGCCUCCCCGCGGGAAGAGGUCGUGGUCCUUGUCCAGGACGGACCAGUCCAGGGCAGCACCGGUGGCACCGGGGGGAGCCCGCCCCGGCACGACCCCCAGCGCCUCCUCCUCCGGCUCCUCAUCGGAGGAGCUGAAGGAGGAGGGAGGGGACGCGGCCGACAUGGGAGAGGGGGACCCGCUCUGCGGGGAGCUCCCCGGCGCGGGGCUGGGGGGCGCGGGGGGCUCCUGGGCGGCGGGUGCCGCGGGGCUGUCCUCGGCGGGCGCGUCGGGCGCGGGCUCCUGUGGCUCCACCGGCGGCUUGGUGGGCUGCCUGCGGCCGGUGGAGGCGCGGCCCAGCACCGAGGGCUUGAUCUUCACCGGGAGGCGCGGGCGGGACGCGCCGGUGCCCACUUUGCCCUUUUUCCGCGGGCGGUACUUGUAGUCGGGGUAGUCGGCCAUGUGCUUGAGGCGCAGGCGCUCGGCCUCCUUCACAAAGGGGAUCUUCUCGGAGUCGUGGAGGAGCUGCCAGCGCCGGCCGAGGCGCUUGGAGAUCUCGGCGUUGUGCAUGUCGGGCCACUGGUCCAUGAUCUUGCGGCGCUCGUGCUGGGACCACACCAUGAAGGCGUUCAUCGGCCGCUUGAUGUGCCCGCUCGGGGUCUUGCACCACGCCGGUUCGGCAUCGCGGGCGGGCAGCGGGGCACAGGGCUCCCGCCGAGCCUCCGCGCCCCGGCCCCGCGCCCCGCGCUGCUGCACCAUGCCGGGCCCCGGGACCCCCCCGCCGCCGCCUUCUCCUCCUCCUCCUCUUCCUCCCCGCCCGCCGCCGCCUCCCCGCCCGCCGCUACGCGCCGCGCCGCGCCGCCCCCAUUGUGCGGAGCGGGCGGCGGCGGCAGGGCGGGGCGCCGGGGGCCGCACCGGGGCCCGGGGGCUCACGGCGGAGGCGGCUCCGCCGGGGCGGCGGCUGCUGAGAUGCUCCGGUGGAGCCCCGGGCCGGGCCGGUGGUCUUUGGCUUUGGGGAUGCUCUGCAGCGGUGCGGUCCCGGGAUGCUCCGGGAUGCUUUGUACCGGUCCGGGGAUGCUCCGGGAUGUUCCGCGCCGCCCCAGGGAUGCUCCGCACCGGUUCGAGGAUGCUCCAGGAUGUUCCGCCCCGCCCCGGGGAUGCUCCGGGAUGUUCCGCGCCGCCCCGGGGAUGCUUCCCCGGUGAAGUCGGUGGAUGCUCCGAUCGGGGCCGCUGCGGCUGGUCCGAGCCACGGGGUGCGCGGGGGCGGUGCGGGCAGCCCGGGAGCCACACGCCCCCCGGUGCCGCUCUUAUAGCCGGCGCCGCUCCGC
Long non-coding RNA from Strigops habroptila (Kakapo), 4304 nucleotides. The record is from Ensembl. NCBI's taxonomy places the organism in Eukaryota, Metazoa, Chordata, Aves, Psittaciformes, Psittacidae.